UAUAAUUAAGAAGAAAGGCAACACCGCCACAGUGAUAAAGCAAAGAGAAAAAGCGUGGCAAUAUAGUGCGUAUUAAUAAAAGGACACCACAUCCUGCCAAAUUCCAGCUGCGCUAAUUGUAUUGUGUUCACAGAGCUCACAAGCUAUCAGAAAGUUGUAUGGCAACCACCUCCGGCGCCAAAUAGAACUGGCAGACAUAGACAUUCAGUACAAGAAGAAAAAGAUGGAAAAUCUUGCACUGGAGUUCGAAAUAAAAAAAGAGGACAAUUAGGAAACUGGACCUUGAAAUAAAAAAACUUGAGAGGGAGCUCCAAGAAGAUGACACAGCUCAAAAUAAAAAUUAGCAAUCAGUACAACCAAGUCAUCGUUAUAAGGCAUCGCCCUCUUUUGCCCACCCCCCAGCACCAGGUGUGGCCACUAGCCUAUAUGAAGGCCCAAAAUUGUGUGUUCCUUUCUGCUCUGACAAUGGCAUGCCCAUUCGUGCGAGAUGUGG
Molecule: long non-coding RNA, 493 nt
Organism: Oncorhynchus tshawytscha (Chinook salmon)
Lineage: Eukaryota; Metazoa; Chordata; Actinopteri; Salmoniformes; Salmonidae
Source: Ensembl